Molecule: ribosomal RNA, 318 nt
Filed under: Lampsilis siliquoidea
Lineage: Eukaryota; Metazoa; Mollusca; Bivalvia; Unionida; Unionidae
Description: partial 16S ribosomal RNA
Rfam family: Bacterial large subunit ribosomal RNA
Source: RNAcentral
AAAUAAAUAGCCUUUUAAUUGGAGGCCAGUGAAUGGCAAGACUAGGGACAUCUGUACCCUGUAUAUAAAAACAACUUUUCAUCUGGGUGAAAAGACCCAAAUAAUAAAGGAAGACGAAAAGACCCCGCGGAACUUUACCUUUUCCAGUCUCCACAUGCUCAGAAACAUAAGAACAAAAGGUUUGAUUGGGGCAAUCUCGGAACCACCAAAACUUCCGACUCAUAAGAAAUAAGCAUAUAAAACUUGAUAAGGACCAAAAAGAAGUUACCCCGGGGAUAACAGCGUAAUCCAACUUGAGAGUACACAUCGAAAGCUGGG